CCCCUCUCAGGAUCGCACCUGGAAAGUAUCCAGUACUUCACUAGUCUCGACUUUGGGAGGGAGAGUCAAGCAGAGGCAUAACCACUCCAUUCCUAGAUUGGGCAGUGCCUAGCGAGUGGAAGGCAAUCUGCUACAAGU
Small nucleolar RNA from Tachyglossus aculeatus (Australian echidna), 138 nucleotides. NCBI's taxonomy places the organism in Eukaryota, Metazoa, Chordata, Mammalia, Monotremata, Tachyglossidae. The record is from RefSeq and is a predicted model, not a curated record.